GUUUGCACUUGUCGGGGAAGGGUGAGAACCUUCGAUUAAGGUUCGACUCAAGCGAAAGCGAGAGAACGUUGCCAACGGCAACGGCCCGUAGGGUGAGGAGCGAAGCGACGAAUAAUCCUUCCCCCACCACCA
RNAcentral lists this small RNA (132 nucleotides) under Salmonella enterica subsp. enterica serovar Muenchen. RNAcentral describes it as "RtT sRNA". It matches the Rfam family "RtT RNA". From Rfam's summary of the family: This family represents a bacterial cis-regulatory element known as RtT RNA. RNAcentral also lists the same sequence under 1 other name. The record is from RNAcentral. Lineage: Bacteria; Pseudomonadati; Pseudomonadota; Gammaproteobacteria; Enterobacterales; Enterobacteriaceae.